RNAcentral lists this ribosomal RNA (134 nucleotides) under Pteropus vampyrus (large flying fox). Lineage: Eukaryota; Metazoa; Chordata; Mammalia; Chiroptera; Pteropodidae. The record is from RNAcentral.
UUCAGUUCUCUGCCUCAUUUUCUUCAUCUGCACUGGGGAGAAAAAGAAUAAUAAUUGUGAUCUUGGAAGCUAAGCAGGGUCGGGCCUGGUUAGUACUUGGAUGGGAGACCACCUAGGAAGACCGGGUGCUGUAG